GACGAACGCUGGCGGCGUGCCUAACACAUGCAAGUCGAGCGAAUGAAAUUCCUUCGGGAAUGGAUUUAGCGGCGGGCGGGUGAGUAACACGUGGGCAACCUGCCUCAUAGAGGGGAAUAGCCUUCCGAAAGGGAGAUUAAUACCGCAUAAGAUUGUAGUAUCGCAUGGUACAGCAAUUAAAGGAGCAAUCCGCUAUGAGAUGGGCCCGCGGCGCAUUAGCUAGUUGGUGAAGUAACGGCUCACCAAGGCGACGAUGCGUAGCCGACCUGAGAGGGUGAUCGGCCACAUUGGGACUGAGACACGGCCCAGACUCCUACGGGAGGCAGCAGUGGGGAAUAUUGCACAAUGGGGGAAACCCUGAUGCAGCAACGCCGCGUGAGUGAUGACGGCCUUCGGGUUGUAAAGCUCUGUCUUCAGGGACGAUAAUGACGGUACCUGAGGAGGAAGCCACGGCUAACUACGUGCCAGCCGCCGCAGUAA
RNAcentral lists this ribosomal RNA (480 nucleotides) under uncultured bacterium. Its description in RNAcentral is "partial 16S ribosomal RNA". It matches the Rfam family "Bacterial small subunit ribosomal RNA", at positions 28 to 523 of the family's 1533-position model. The record is from RNAcentral.